This is a long non-coding RNA of Hemicordylus capensis (graceful crag lizard), 836 nucleotides long. RefSeq lists it as uncharacterized. The transcript is spliced from 4 exons. The record is from RefSeq and is a predicted model, not a curated record. NCBI's taxonomy places the organism in Eukaryota, Metazoa, Chordata, Lepidosauria, Squamata, Cordylidae.
CUGUGUUCCCGAAUCAACCACUGGCUGUGAUCCUGACCGGUUGCCUCUGGAGUUAUACAAAGUCUGGUGCAAUUCCUGAUCUCUGCCUUGGAUGAGACUGUAGCUUGGCCUGGAGGAGUAUAGCACCUUUUCCAGUGCUAUGAUAUCCUUUUUGAGAUCCCUUCCCCGGCAGCUUUGCUCAGCAGAUACCCAGGUUCCCAGAUUCAGAUCUCUAACAAGCAUCUAGUUUGGCUUUCGGUUUAGUUGUUGACUUCUGAUUAACGGGAGCAUUCUAGCAGUGGGCCUGUUCUACUAGUAUGUGAGGUUCCAAGCAAUCAGCGGCCUGAUGUUAGGCUUGCAAACCCCUCAGUACUCCAGAAGAUCUAAGUCAAGCCCAAGAUGCAACAGCAUCCCAGCUGCCAUUGGCUCAGCUGAUUUAACAUCGAAAUUCCAUGUGUUCCUACAUUAGUGGGUCAUGAGAAGAUGCAUAGUGCAAAGGUGCUGCAUGGAAGCGAAAACAUCUUUUCCAUUGACAUGCUCUCUCCCAUUGCCACCACACACACCUACCUACCUUAUAAGUCUUGCCUUCAGUCUCUCCAGUCGACUGUGUGGAGCACAGAGAUAAAUAUCCAAUCCGAAUGACAGGUAUUAUACUCUGUUACACUAAUGUUCUGAUUAAUGAGUUCUUUCCAUUCAUUGUGUGCAUUCACUUUGAUUCAUCCUGAUGGCUGUACUGUAUAAUAGACUAUGUACUGUAAUUCUCCCUCCAUUGUUGCUGCUUAAUAAUUUGGUAUGAUGUUAUCUGGGUAAUUUUUGACUAACAUCAAUGAACUACAUUUUGUUAUAAUUCAAUUAAA